RNAcentral lists this long non-coding RNA (231 nucleotides) under Anser brachyrhynchus (Pink-footed goose). RNAcentral's name for it is "lncRNA (ENSABRG00000015119.1)". The record is from RNAcentral. Lineage: Eukaryota; Metazoa; Chordata; Aves; Anseriformes; Anatidae.
AUGAUCUUGCACACGCAAGGGAAGUCUUCAUCACUCACGUACCUGUGCAGUUUGAAGACAGACACUGACUUCCUGCGUACCAGUGGUGCUCAGUCAAGAAGAAUGUGUAGUAUGAGAAAAAUGUCUAUCCUCAUUUCAAAACCUCUCCUAAAAAUCAAACUUCAAAUGGAGAAUAGCAGCAUAUGUGAUAGAAGGUCAUUACAACAUAACUUACCAAAACAUGAUUCGUAG